This 294-nucleotide ribosomal RNA is filed under the name uncultured bacterium TA3. RNAcentral describes it as "partial 16S ribosomal RNA". It matches the Rfam family "Bacterial small subunit ribosomal RNA", at positions 223 to 526 of the family's 1533-position model. The record is from RNAcentral.
GGAUGAGCCCGCGGCCUAUCAGCUUGUUGGUGGGGUAAUGGCCUACCAAGGCGUCGACGGGUAGCCGGCCUGAGAGGGUGGACGGCCACAUUGGGACUGAGACACGGCCCAGACUCCUACGGGAGGCAGCAGUGGGGAAUAUUGCACAAUGGGCGCAAGCCUGAUGCAGCGACGCCGCGUGGGGGAUGACGGCCUUCGGGUUGUAAACUCCUUUCAACCAUGACGAAGCUUUCGGGUGACGGUAGUGGUAGAAGAAGCACCGGCUAACUACGUGCCAGCAGCCGCGGCCGAGCC